CCACGCGGCUGGGGAGUCAGCGGUUCCCUGUACCUGCAAUCCGCUAUAGCAGGAGUUAUACUUUGCCUCGGACAGCAACGGAUGGAGCUGCCCGGAAGAAGUGGUGUUGACGCUUGGGCCUUUCGCAACAGGAAUUCAUGAACCAUGUCAGGACGGGAACGUAGCAGCAUUAAGUGAAACCUUCUGUGUGCCGGAAGCAAACCUGAGCCGAGCUAACUGGUCCGGUAACGUCUGUUUUUUGUUGUACAAAGCAAAGUGCGUGG
Non-coding RNA from Bacteroides pectinophilus CAG:437, 263 nucleotides. It matches the Rfam family "Bacterial large signal recognition particle RNA". From Rfam's summary of the family: The signal recognition particle (SRP) is a universally conserved ribonucleoprotein involved in the co-translational targeting of proteins to membranes. Archaeal SRP consists of a 7S RNA and homologues of the eukaryotic SRP19 and SRP54 proteins. In most bacteria, the SRP consists of a 4.5S RNA and the Ffh protein (a homologue of the eukaryotic SRP54 protein). The record is from Rfam. Lineage: Bacteria; Bacillati; Bacillota; Clostridia; Eubacteriales.